This 253-nucleotide ribosomal RNA is filed under the name uncultured bacterium. Its description in RNAcentral is "partial 16S ribosomal RNA". It matches the Rfam family "Bacterial small subunit ribosomal RNA", at positions 524 to 776 of the family's 1533-position model. The record is from RNAcentral.
GACGAAGGGAGCAAGCGUUGUUGGGAUUCACUGGGCAUAAAGGGCACGGAGGCGGCCAAGCAAGUCGGAUGUGAAAUCCCGCGGCUCAACCGCGGAAUUGCAUCCGAUACUGCACGUCUUGAGGCCGGGAGGGGAGAGUGGAACUCCUAGUGUAGCGGUGAAAUGCGUAGAUUUUAGGAGGAACGCCGGUGGCGAAAGCGACUCUCUGGCCCGGUUCUGACGCUGAGGUGCCAAAGCUAUGGGAGCAACCAGG